GACGUAGGGCGCGAGCGUUGUCCGGAUUUAUUGGGCGUAAAGAGCGCGCAGGCGGUCGUUCAAGUCGCGUGUGAAAGCCCCCGGCUCAACUGGGGAGGGUCACGCGAUACUGAUCGACUCGAAGGCAGGAGAGGGUAGUGGAAUUCCCGGUGUAGUGGUGAAAUGCGUAGAUAUCAAGAGGAACACCUGCGGCGAAGGCGGGUUGCUGGGCCGACACUGACGCUGAGGCGCGAAAGCCAGGGGAGCGAACGGG
This 253-nucleotide ribosomal RNA is filed under the name uncultured bacterium. RNAcentral describes it as "partial 16S ribosomal RNA". It matches the Rfam family "Bacterial small subunit ribosomal RNA", at positions 524 to 776 of the family's 1533-position model. The record is from RNAcentral.